RNAcentral lists this ribosomal RNA (790 nucleotides) under marine metagenome. Its description in RNAcentral is "bacterial SSU rRNA". It matches the Rfam family "Bacterial small subunit ribosomal RNA", at positions 8 to 845 of the family's 1533-position model. The record is from RNAcentral.
AGAGUUUGAUCAUGGCUCAGAACGUACGCUGGCGGCACGCCUAACACAUGCAAGUCGAACGAAGUAGCAAUACUUAGUGGCAGACGGGUGAGUAACAUGUAGGUAUCUGCCCUUUGGCCUGGAAUAACACGAGGAAACUUGUGCUAAUACCGGAUAAGUCUUUACGGAGAAAGCUUUAUGCACCAUUGGAUGAGCCUGCACUUGAUUAGUUUGUUGGUGGGGUAAUGGCCUACCAAGACUGUGAUCAAUAGCUGAUUUGAGAGGAUGAUCAGCCACAUUGGGACUGAGACACGGCCCAAACUCCUACGGGAGGCAGCAGUGGGGAAUCUUGCACAAUGGAGGAAACUCUGAUGCAGCGAUGCCGCGUGAGUGAAGAAGGCCUUUGGGUUGUAAAGCUCUUUCGUCGGGGAAGAAAAUGACUGUACCCGAAUAAGAAGGUCCGGCUAACUUCGUGCCAGCAGCCGCGGUAAUACGAAGGGACCUAGCGUAGUUCGGAAUUACUGGGCUUAAAGAGUUCGUAGGUGGUUGAAAAAGUUGGUGGUGAAAUCCCAGAGCUUAACUCUGGAACUGCCAUCAAAACUUUUCAGCUAGAGUAUGAUAGAGGAAAGCAGAAUUUCUAGUGUAGAGGUGAAAUUCGUAGAUAUUAGAAAGAAUACCAAUUGCGAAGGCAGCUUUCUGGAUCAUUACUGACACUGAGGAACGAAAGCAUGGGUAGCGAAGAGGAUUAGAUACCCUCGUAGUCCAUGCCGUAAACGAUGUGUGUUAGACGUUGGAAAUUUAUUUUUCAGUG